This 1170-nucleotide long non-coding RNA is filed under the name Sparus aurata (gilthead seabream). RNAcentral's name for it is "lncRNA (ENSSAUG00010015347.1)". Lineage: Eukaryota; Metazoa; Chordata; Actinopteri; Spariformes; Sparidae. The record is from RNAcentral.
CAGGCUGCUGUUGCCGUGGGGCCCGCGUUGCUCCGCUGGAAGCCCUCCUGGGUGUGGUUGUGCGUCCUCGUGUUUGGAUCAGGCAGAAGCCGUGCAAUAACUCUGCUACCUGGCCUGCUGUGACGCUGCGCCGGUGAGGUCCAUUUAAACAUUCAUUCAUCGCCACGGCUCCCUGGACGACGCUGCUGUUUUGUGUGGCUCCAUUGUUUGGCUGCUGCUGAUUUUAGGCAGCUGUUUUGGUGUCAUUUAAAAAAAAAUAUUUUUGUUGUUUUCUUUUUUUGGGGGGUUUUCUGAAUUGAGGUUGGGUCCAGCAUCCCCCUCACAGAGCUGUCAUCAGAGCCCUAAUGCUGGGCUCUCUGGGGGCUGCUGCAUGGGUUUAUUGAUUUGAGGAAAAGCUUGAUUUAUUAAUUUGUUUAUUGUUAAGUGUAAAUUUGAGUUUCUUUGUAUUAUUUUUCAUAGUUUUUGUUUAAUUGUAUUUGAAGAUUUAAUUGGUUAUUUUGGGUUCCUUUUUUUAUAAUGCUUUAUUGUUGGUGUGUGUGUGUGUGUGUGUGUGUGUGUGUGUGUGUGUGUGUGUGUGUGUGAGAGAUACCAGCCAGACUGUGAGGCCAUUUUAAUUCUCCCUCUCUCCUUGUGGACAAGUGCUGGAGCUCAGAGCGGCGACCCAAUCCCUGGUGGCGGGUUCUUCACUUCUCAGUUGCGUGGGUGUGCAGUGUCACGGGUGCUGGAGCUCAGAGCGGCGACCCAAUCCCUGGUGGCGGGUUCACUUCUCAGUUGCGUGGGUGUGCAGUGUCACGGGUGAUAUUAUUAUUUUGGUUUGUUUCUCCCUCCUCUUUGGUUUCAGGCCGCCGUGGCAAGCCCAGCUCUGUCCAUCCCCUUUUUGUGGCCCAGUGAUUAAUGUGAGAUGGCUUGGUAAAUUUUGAAACUAAAAAAAACCCAUUGUACAAUAAAAGUAUUUCUAUAUUUUGAACACUGUCUCCUGCCCAGUGGUGAUUUACGAACCUGUGACCUUAUAGUCUCCUAGUAAAACAGUAACUACUUCCUGUGGCGAAAUUCCCCAGGUGGCGUUGUUCGGCAACACUCACCCCUAGCUUCCACCUCGCCACAUUAAGUUCAGUUCAAAGUUCAUAGAAAAAUAAACUUGUUCACUUAUUUUGAACUAGUUCAUGCACA